CUGGUGUGACAGCAGGAUCCGCUCUGCAGCCUGAUGGGGAAUCAGGGAUCAGUUUUGGAGAGGGAGCCUGAGAAACAGCUACCACAUCCAAGGUAGGCAGCUGGUGCACAGAUUGUCCACUCCCAACCCAGGGAGGUAGUGAUGAAAAAUAACAAUACAGGACUCUUUCAAGGCCCUGUAAUUGGAAUGAGCACACUUUAAAUCCUUGAAUGAGGAUCCAUUGGAGGACGAAUCUGGUGCCAGCAGUCGCUGUAAUUCCAGCUCCAAUAG
RNAcentral lists this non-coding RNA (270 nucleotides) under Buceros rhinoceros silvestris. RNAcentral's name for it is "Eukaryotic small subunit ribosomal RNA". It matches the Rfam family "Eukaryotic small subunit ribosomal RNA", at positions 329 to 597 of the family's 1831-position model. Lineage: Eukaryota; Metazoa; Chordata; Aves; Bucerotiformes; Bucerotidae. The record is from Rfam by way of RNAcentral.